RNAcentral lists this ribosomal RNA (497 nucleotides) under uncultured archaeon. RNAcentral's name for it is "bacterial SSU rRNA". It matches the Rfam family "Bacterial small subunit ribosomal RNA", at positions 38 to 521 of the family's 1533-position model. The record is from RNAcentral.
ACCGCGGCGGCUGGCUUAACACAUGCAAGUCGCACGAGAACGCUCUGGCUUCGGCCGGGGCAAGUACAGUGGCGGACGGGUGCGUAUCGCGUAGAUAACCUGCCCACAGGCGCGGGAUAACCACGGGAAACCGUGGCUAAUACCGCACGUCGUCUGGACCCCGCAUGGGGACCAGAUGAAAGCCUUCGGGCGCCUUUGGAUGGGUCUACGUUGGAUUAGCUUGUUGGUGAGGCAACGGCUCACCAAGGCAACGAUCCAUAGCUGGUCUGAGAGGACGAUCAGCCACACUGGGACUGAGACACGGCCCAGACUCCUACGGGAGGCAGCAGUGGGGAAUCUUGCACAAUGGGGUCACCCCUGAUGCAGCCAUGCCGCGUGGAGGAAGACACCCCUAUGGGGCGUAAACUCCUUUUCUGAACGAAGAAACCCCUGUAGGUUCAGGGCGCGACGGUAGUUCAGGAAUAAGCACCGGCUAACUCCGUGCCAGCAGCCGCGGU